GAAAAAUGAAGAUUUGAAGAGUCGACGCACCACCCGGCGACACACUUAAACCGUCGGGCGGUCCAGGACAAGGAGAAGGCAUGGCGAUUGACGCUGGGCGGACCUGAGGGAAACUGCCUGGUGGUGGUGAUUGCCGCCGGGCGGUAGGGCGGUUUAAGUGUGCCGCUCGGCGGUGGCUCGCUGGACUUGGGCCCGUUUUCUGAUGCGCUCCUCACUUAUAUAUACCCCUAUUGCGGGAAACAAUGUAAUCUUUUGAUACUCUCUCUUAUU
RNAcentral lists this long non-coding RNA (270 nucleotides) under Vigna radiata. Its description in RNAcentral is "long non-coding RNA (VRAD_LNC016178)". The record is from RNAcentral. Lineage: Eukaryota; Viridiplantae; Streptophyta; Magnoliopsida; Fabales; Fabaceae.